GCCUUCUUUUUUAUAUAUAGCUGCUGCAGGUCUUCUGGGAGAGGGAGUCCAAACACAGGAACUUUUUCCAAACUCAGGGUCAAGCGGCUCCAAAGCGGGCUCCCCAAGGUCACCGCUCAGCCUGGGUCUCCCUACUGUAACCACUGGUCCGCUCCGCCCUUCUCCCUGCAGUUUUAACUCCUGUGUCAAAAGCAGAGCGCGGUUGGAUCUGUAGGGCGACGCCGAGAACGCGGCACUCGAACUCACUCCCCGGCUGAUGUCGUCGCUUUCUCUCCCUCACAGGGGCACUGGACGGCGAGGAGAGCGCCUCCGUCGCCUGCCCUCCGGGAAGACUAACAGGGAAUGCAACAGGCGGCCUUGAAUGCGGAGGGAGCGCUUUCGGAGCAAGGACACCCCGCCUAAGGCAGAAUAUCUCUCAAACGCCACUCCAAAAGCAAUUGCAGGAUUUAUUUAUGGAACACCGGGAAGAGAAGAGCAGGUGAUGAAGACUUUGGGGGAAGGAAAGGGGAGGGGAAGAGAAAGACAUUUAAAAAAGUGUGCUUUUUAAAAAAAAAAUAAUUAUUGAAAAUAAUUUUACUCCGCCUUUCUCCUUAAAUUGGACCCAAGGCGACUUAAGGAGAAAGCCGGGAUAAUAUAUGAGGGUUUUAUAUUAGGGAAACGAGGCAAAACCCAUAGCAGUGGGUCUCAACCUUGAGUAGAAGGGGCGCCUCUGAGAAUCUGAGAAUCCAGCGAUGCAUCUCCUCCCUCGAAUUUGGUACUCGGAGGCGAGCUAUGCCUCUCCAUGGAGGUUCUGUUGCUAUUGACACUCUUUUGUUGUUGUUCUUAUUUAUUCCUUUUAUGGUGUCACCAGCCCGACAAGCCCUGGAUCCCCUCCCUUGCCCCCGCCGUGAGAAUCUGACGCCCGCCGGACACUUCCUCCCUGGGGGGGAAAAAUGCGCAAAAUUGCGGGCAGACUUUUCUUUUGCGCAAAAAGGAAGCUCCCCUUCAAAGGCUUGCGGCCGGCUGGCGGAUCGCAGUUCCCUCUCUCUCUCCAAAGGGAAGCAACCAACCAAAGAAUUCUUCACCUUUCUGCCCGACGGGAGUGACUUCUCUAUUUCUACCAACGGCUCAAAUUUGUGAAACUUCCUGGGAGCUUCUCUUUCCCCUUACUUCUCUCGCUCUCUCUUUCUCCAACGCAAUCCUUGCUCCGAGACACGCAAUGCCAUGAUGUGCAGUUAUUUAAUGUAGCUGGCAGGCCUUGACCACUUCCCACGUGGACCUUUGAGCACAGCAUUAUGUGGACCUUGUGGGCCUUUGCUGGUCUCUGGAUGCUGGUUGGAGAGGCCAACGCGGUAGGACCAUCUGCUGGAUCGUGGGAUGUCAAGAUCUCCGCAUCUACCCACUUGGACAACAGAGGAUACUUGGUGAAGAGGUUGGAUGGAGCCUCACAAGUGGAUGUGAGUUGGACUUUUGCUACAGGAGGGAGGGGUUGUAUUUUGCUAGCCGGGUCCAUUGUGGGAAUGUGUCUCGUGUCUCUCUGUGUGUUUUUUUUUUAAUCCAAAUGAAAUGCGCCUGACACUUAAGCUUGGUUCUAGUUGCAUGUAUAACCCCAUGUCUGCUUGUCUAUUU
RNAcentral lists this long non-coding RNA (1608 nucleotides) under Pogona vitticeps (central bearded dragon). Its description in RNAcentral is "lncRNA (ENSPVIG00000002028.1)". The record is from RNAcentral. Lineage: Eukaryota; Metazoa; Chordata; Lepidosauria; Squamata; Agamidae.